AGCGCCGGCUCCCGUGUGGAGGUGCUCUUAGCGGUGUUGUUUCUCGAGCAGCAGCAGCUCUCACUACAGCGCCAGGACGAGUCCGGUUCGUGUUCGUCCGCGGAGAUCUCUCUCAUCUCGCUCGGCUGCGGGAAAUCGGGCUGAGGCGACUGAGUCCGCGAUGGAGAAAACUUUAGAAACUGUUCCUUUGGAGAGGAAAAAGAGAGAAAAGGAACAGUUCCGUAAACUUUUUAUUGGUGGCUUGAGCUUUGAAACCACAGAAGAAAGUUUGAGGAACUACUACGAGCAAUGGGGGAAACUUACAGACUGUGUGGUCAUGAGAGAUCCUGCAAGCAAAAGAUCAAGAGGAUUUGGUUUUGUAACUUUUUCGUCCAUGGCUGAGGUUGAUGCUGCCAUGGCUGCAAGACCUCAUUCAAUUGAUGGGAGAGUGGUUGAGCCAAAACGUGCUGUUGCAAGAGAGGAAUCUGGAAAGCCAGGGGCUCAUGUAACUGUGAAGAAGCUGUUUGUUGGUGGAAUUAAAGAAGAUACUGAGGAACAUCAUCUUAGAGAUUACUUCGAAGAGUAUGGAAAGAUUGAUACCAUUGAGAUAAUUACUGAUAGGCAGUCUGGAAAGAAAAGAGGCUUUGGAUUUGUUACCUUUGAUGAUCAUGAUCCCGUGGAUAAGAUUGUGUUGCAGAAAUAUCAUACCAUCAAUGGUCAUAAUGCAGAAGUAAGAAAGGCUUUGUCUAGACAAGAAAUGCAGGAAGUCCAGAGUUCUAGAAGUGGAAGAGGAGGCAACUUCGGUUUUGGAGAUUCUCGUGGUGGUGGUGGAAAUUUUGGACCAGGCCCGGGAAGUAACUUUAGAGGAGGAUCUGAUGGAUAUGGAAGUGGUCGCGGAUUUGGGGAUGGCUAUAAUGGGUAUGGAGGAGGACCUGGAGGUGGCAAUUUUGGAGGUAGCCCUGGUUAUGGAGGAGGAAGAGGAGGAUAUGGUGGUGGAGGACCUGGAUAUGGCAACCAGGGUGGGGGCUACGGAGGUGGUUAUGACAACUAUGGAGGAGGAAAUUACGGAAGUGGAAAUUACAAUGAUUUUGGAAAUUAUAACCAGCAACCUUCUAACUAUGGUCCAAUGAAGAGUGGAAACUUUGGUGGUAGCAGGAACAUGGGGGGACCAUAUGGUGGAGGAAACUAUGGUCCUGGAGGCAGUGGAGGAAGUGGGGGUUAUGGAGGGAGAAGCCGAUAUUGAGCUUCUUCCUAUUUGCCAUGGCAUUGAUAUGAACCAUGGACAAGUAUAUUCUGCUGCCACAAAGACUGUAAAGUGCUUCAUUUCAACAGCUGAGGCGCAAGCCAAGUGAUCAUUAAUAAAGCUUUUCUUGGUUCCUUCAGUGGUGUUGGUAGUAAAAUGGAAGGUGUCUUGCUGCAGGUAACUAAUGAAGAAGUGGUCAACCACAGAGUCUUCAAGAAAUAAGAAAUACUGUACCAUCUGAAAGUAGUUCUUGUUGGUGCCUUCAUUAAAAAAAAAAGCACUUUAAGAUUAAAGGGAAAUGUUUUCUGAUAAAAUACAUCAUUUAGUACAGGUUCUCUUAAUAUAAAACCAUUACAAAUUGAGUACUGUUUGUAAAAGAGUAACAUCAAGUAAGCUAGAGAGAGAAAUGUAUCAUGUUUUAAAUUAGGUUUUGUGAGUAGACAGAUUAAAAUUCUAUUUUAAAUAUAAAGUUUAUAAAAUAAACACUUUUGUAUUCAAAUACUUGGUGUAAUGUUUACACAUAAAAUGUGUGAAUCUUGUUCUAUCAACUUACAGUUGUCUAAAAGAUUGCCAUCCCCUAGAGUUUUAAAGCAGUUUCACAAAGCUAUGCAUAUUGCCAUUUUUAUUUCAAUAUUAAUAGUCAAGAAAAGCAUUGUGGACAUUAUUGGCUGUCCCUAAUAAAAUGCCAUUCUUUUUAUACUGUA
RNA transcript from Neofelis nebulosa (Clouded leopard), 1926 nucleotides. It is a transcript of the gene named heterogeneous nuclear ribonucleoprotein A2/B1, with no coding region annotated. The record is from RefSeq and is a predicted model, not a curated record. The transcript is spliced from 13 exons. Lineage: Eukaryota; Metazoa; Chordata; Mammalia; Carnivora; Felidae.